AUACGGAGGAUCCGAGCGUUAUCCGGAUUUAUUGGGUUUAAAGGGUGCGCGGCGGGAGAUUAAGUCGGCGGUGAAAUUUUGCAGCUCAACUGUAAAAGUGCCUUCGAAACUGGUUUCCUUGAGUGUAGAUGACGUAGGCGGAAUUUGUGGUGGAGCGGGGAAAUGCAUAGAUAUCACGAGGAACUCCGAUUGCGCAGGCAGCUUACUAAACUACUACUGACGCUCAGGCACGAAGGCGUGGGGAUCAAACAGGAUUAGAUACCCUGGUAGUCCACGCAGUAAACGAUGAUUACUAGCUGUUUGCGAUACAAUGUAAGCGGCUGAGCGAAAGCGUUAAGUAAUCCACCUGGGGAGUACGUUCGCAAGAAUGAAACUCAAAUGAAUUGACGGGG
Molecule: ribosomal RNA, 392 nt
Filed under: uncultured bacterium
Lineage: Bacteria
Description: partial 16S ribosomal RNA
Rfam family: Bacterial small subunit ribosomal RNA
Source: RNAcentral